RNAcentral lists this ribosomal RNA (563 nucleotides) under uncultured bacterium. Its description in RNAcentral is "bacterial SSU rRNA". It matches the Rfam family "Bacterial small subunit ribosomal RNA", at positions 343 to 905 of the family's 1533-position model. The record is from RNAcentral.
GGGAGGCAGCAGUGAGGAAUAUUGGACAAUGGAGGAGACUCUGAUCCAGCCAUGCCGCGUGCAGGAAGACGGCCCUAUGGGUUGUAAACUGCUCUUAUACAGGAAGAAACAGUCCCUCGAUGAGGGAUCUUGACGGUACUGUAAGAAUAAGGACCGGCUAACUCCGUGCCAGCAGCCGCGGUAAUACGGAGGGUCCGAGCGUUAUCCGGAAUCAUUGGGUUUAAAGGGUCCGUAGGCGGGUGAUUAAGUCAGUGGUGAAAGUCUGUAGCUCAACUAUAGAAUUGCCAUUGAAACUGAUUGUCUUGAAUUAUUGUGAAGUGUUUAGAAUAAGUAGUGUAGCGGUGAAAUGCAUAGAUUUUACUUAGAAUACCAAUUGCGAAGGCAGAACACUAACAAUAUAUUGACGCUGAUGGACGAAAGCGUGGGUAGCGAACAGGAUUAGAUACCCUGGUAGUCCACGCCGUAAACGAUGGAUACUAGCUGUCCGGUAGCAAUACUGGGUGGCUAAGCGAAAGUGAUAAGUAUCCCACCUGGGGAGUACGUUCGCAAGAAUGAAACUCAAA